GCAGGGACAGCAAGAUGGUGUCACAGAGGCAGGUCCUCAUAUCCUUGAUGCUGUGGGUCUCAGGUGCCUGCGGGGCGAUUAUGAUGACACAGUCUCCAGGCUUCCUGGCUGGGUCUCUAGGUCAGCAAGUAACCAUGAACUGCAGGGCCAGUCAGAGUGUUGGCUUGUCCAUAGCUUGGUACCAGCAGAAACCCGGGCAGCAUCCUAAGCAGCUCAUCUACAAUGGAAACAACUGGGCAUCUGGAGUCUCCGACCGAUUCAGCGGCAGUGGGUUUGGGACAGAUUUCACCCUCACCAUCAGCAACCUCCAGGCUGAAGAUGUGGCGACUUAUUACUGUCAGCAGCUUUAUAGCUCUCCUCCUACAGUGCUGCAGCCUCGUACACAAACCUCCUCCCCAGGGCCGUGGGGCAGGGAGGCUUGGCUGCACCUGCUGCUUCCUCCCUGCUGAGCCCUGAACACGCAGGUUCUGUGUCUGCCUGAGAAGCCACCUCUCCAGACUACUCCUUACAGGGUUGUUUAAGGCCCAGGGGGAAAUAAAGGGGAAGGCUUCUUCUGGAUCCUUUUUAGUGGGAGAGUAGUGAACACGAAUGCCAAUAAGACCUCUUGCAGAAGCUGUUAGGAGUUGUUGUGUCGAAAGAGGUGGCGUGCUUUGCACAGACAGAUGGCAUAAUUGAAUCAGUAAGGUUCGUCUCUAGCCUUUGGCGAAAGGUCC
Suricata suricatta (meerkat) is the source of this 713-nucleotide non-coding RNA. NCBI's taxonomy places the organism in Eukaryota, Metazoa, Chordata, Mammalia, Carnivora, Herpestidae. The record is from the annotation of a RefSeq genome assembly.